RNAcentral lists this ribosomal RNA (419 nucleotides) under uncultured Gammaproteobacteria bacterium. RNAcentral describes it as "bacterial SSU rRNA". It matches the Rfam family "Bacterial small subunit ribosomal RNA", at positions 9 to 425 of the family's 1533-position model. The record is from RNAcentral. Lineage: Bacteria; Pseudomonadati; Pseudomonadota; Gammaproteobacteria.
GAGUUUGAUCGUGGCUCAGAGUGAACGCUGGCGGUAGGCCUAACACAUGCAAGUCGAACGGCAGCACAGGAGAGCUUGCUCUCUGGGUGGCGAGUGGCGGACGGGUGAGGAAUACAUCGGAAUCUACCUUUUCGUGGGGGAUAACGUAGGGAAACUUACGCUAAUACCGCAUACGACCUUAGGGUGAAAGUGGGGGACCGCAAGGCCUCACGCGAUUAGAUGAGCCGAUGUCGGAUUAGCUAGUUGGCGGGGUAAAAGCCCACCAAGGCGACGAUCCGUAGCUGGUCUGAGAGGAUGAUCAGCCACACUGGAACUGAGACACGGUCCAGACUCCUACGGGAGGCAGCGGUGGGGAAUAUUGGACAAUGGGCGCAAGCCUGAUCCAGCCAUACCGCGUGGGUGAAGAAGGCCUUCGGUUG